This 430-nucleotide unclassified non-coding RNA is filed under the name soil metagenome. RNAcentral describes it as "partial contains 5.8S ribosomal RNA, internal transcribed spacer 2, and large subunit ribosomal RNA". The stretch from base 1 to 120 matches the Rfam family "5.8S ribosomal RNA", at positions 35 to 154 of the family's 154-position model. The record is from RNAcentral.
GAUGAAGAACGCAGCGAAAUGCGAUACGUAAUGUGAAUUGCAGAAUUCAGUGAAUCAUCGAAUCUUUGAACGCAUAUUGCGCUCUCUGGUAUUCCGGAGAGCAUGCUUGUUUGAGUAUCAGUAAACACCUCAACUCCCUUUUCUUUUUUGAAAUUGGAGCUGGACUUGAGUGAUCCCAACGCUUUCUUCCAAGAAAGUGGCGGGUUGCUUGAAAUGCAGGUACAGCUGAACUUUUCUCUGAGCUAUAAGCAUAUCUAUUUAGUCUGCCUAAAAAACAGAUUAUUACCUUUGCUGCAGCUAACAUAAAGGAGACUAGUUCUUGUGCUGACUGAUGCAGGAUUCACAGAGACAGCUUCGGCUGACUUUGUAAACUCGAUCUCAAAUCAAGUAAGACUACCCGCUGAACUUAAGCAUAUCAAUAAGCGGAGGA